UCUUUACACAAAGGCAAAAUGCAUACCUACAUAUUGAGGGGGGGAAAAACAUCUAAUGGUAACUUUUUUUUCCUCGAGGGUCAGUAGAGACCUCUUUGGAUAAGCUACAACUACCAUAGCACUCGCUCUAGAUCGAAAGUUUUAAGAGGUAUUUAUUGAAAAUUAAAGGAUGGAUCAAACCCUCAAAGCAACAGGAUCUUGCCAAGAUAUUUUCCGCUUCUCAACAUGAGAAGUUCCUUCUCCCACAUUCCUGCAUAUCGAUAACUUUAAGUCUCUGUGCUGAUCAUCAUUUAUGUUUUGAAUUAGUCCUCUCUUUGGCUCCUCAAAGUUCAAUGGUUCAAAAUUUGCUUGAGGCUCCUCUUCUCCUAUCGAGAUUUCAUUCAAAUCAAUGACUGGAACUCGACUAGGCAAUACAACAUCUUUCCCAACAUAAUCAGUUUCCUGAUUCAAAUCAAAGACGGGUAUGGUACUCCUCAAAACAAAACCAUUCCCAGCGAAUGACCUGUCAUUCUGAUUCAAAUCAAACACUGGAGCUGCGUUUUGGAGCAGCAUUUCCUUACCACUAUACACUCUUGAUUGGUGCUUCAAACCUGAAGAAACUGUACUACGAUGAACAGCGUCUUUCCCAAUCAGUAAUGCCUGUUUAUGAUUCACAAGAAUAUCCGAAGGUGUCCUCUGUAAUGAAGCUUCCUUUGCAACUUGAAUCCUCGCUUUCUGUUUCAGCCUAGGAAGAGGGGGCAGUUUGUGUUGCUUCACCUCCUUUUUGCUAUGAAAUCGAUCAUUCAUCCCAUUUAUACCGUAUAACUCUGUGUUCAGCAGGGCUGCUCGUUCUUGCUGUUCAAGAUGACCUGAUGACUUCAUCUGCAAUAGGUAUUUGUGUCUUCGGCGCAAGAAAUGAACUUCAGCAAGUAAUUUUUGUUUCCUCAUUUUCAUGUCCUCCAAUUUGUUCCUCGUGUCAUUAGUAUCCUUAUGGAGUUCCAGAUAGUCCUGCAAUAGAGUCUGAUGCUUCAAUCUAGCAUUAUUCUCCUCAAACACCACAUAAGGUGAUGAUUCUAAAGCAACCCUUUUCAUCUUCUUAGACAUAUGAAUCAAAUCACAGAGAAAUCAAACAAACAAAUGCUUAAAUCACAAAAAGAACCAAUCUUUGAAGCAAAUAGACAAAACCAAGAAAAGGGUAUGGCGGCAGAAGAAAGAAAAGAAGGAAAAGUAAGAGAAAAAGAAGCGUGUGGAAGGUGAAGACAGAACAAUAAUACAAACACAAAUAGGUUAAGAAAGAAAAAAGAAAGGGUAAUUGCGAAAGAAUAGAAAAGACAGAACACAAUUGGGGGGUUUGGG
This 1335-nucleotide unclassified non-coding RNA is filed under the name Hevea brasiliensis (rubber tree). Lineage: Eukaryota; Viridiplantae; Streptophyta; Magnoliopsida; Malpighiales; Euphorbiaceae. The record is from RNAcentral.